This 253-nucleotide ribosomal RNA is filed under the name uncultured bacterium. Its description in RNAcentral is "partial 16S ribosomal RNA". It matches the Rfam family "Bacterial small subunit ribosomal RNA", at positions 524 to 776 of the family's 1533-position model. The record is from RNAcentral.
UACGUAGGGUGCAAGCGUUGUCCGGAAUUAUUGGGCGUAAAGGGCUCGUAGGCGGUCUGUUGCGUCGGGAGUGAAAACUUACAGCUUAACUGUGAGCGUGCUUUCGAUACGGGCAGACUUGAGGCAUUCAGGGGAGAACGGAAUUCCUGGUGUAGCGGUGAAAUGCGCAGAUAUCAGGAGGAACACCGGUGGCGAAGGCGGUUCUCUGGGAAUGUACUGACGCUGAGGAGCGAAAGUGUGGGGAGCGAACAGG